UUUGUAUAUUAUUGUAUAAAAACAAUAGGAAAAAAUCGAAGAAAGUAACUUUUGUUUUGAAGUCAAUGGAUGAAGGGUCAAAAAAAUGUCGGAUGCAAUGGAAGAUGAUUAUGCGACAUGCAAUGGAAGAUGAUUACGCGGCAGUUAAACAAAGAGAUCGAUAACGGGAAAAAUUCAAAGAAGGUAACUUACGUUUUGAAAUCAAGGGAUGAAGGGUCAAAAUAUGGCCGGAUGCAAUGGAAGAUGAUUACGCAACAGUUAAACAAAGAGGUGCACAAGAAGAAGAA
This is a long non-coding RNA of Helianthus annuus (common sunflower), 287 nucleotides long. RefSeq lists it as uncharacterized. The transcript has 3 exons. The record is from RefSeq and is a predicted model, not a curated record. Lineage: Eukaryota; Viridiplantae; Streptophyta; Magnoliopsida; Asterales; Asteraceae.